GAUCAAGUGUCUUAAGGGCAUUUGGUGGAUGCCUUGGCAUGCACAGGCGAUGAAGGACGUGAUACGCUGCGAUAAGCGUCGGGGAGGUGCGAAUACCCUUUGAUCCGACGAUUUCCGAAUGGGGCAACCCACCUUAGAUAGCUAGAAAAUUUGAAUUGUUGGAGUGAAACUGCAUGGGUGAGAGCCCAUACAGACCGCUAGGUCGUCGGUUCGAAUGAACCGCCCCUGCGGAGCGAAGCAGCGCAAGCUGCGACAGCGUGAGCAAGAACAGUUCAACUUUCUAGUUAUCGUAAUAAGGUAUCUAACUCUGAAUACAUAGGGGUUAGAA
Molecule: ribosomal RNA, 328 nt
Filed under: Bacillus sp. PR5
Lineage: Bacteria; Bacillati; Bacillota; Bacilli; Caryophanales; Bacillaceae
Description: partial 23S ribosomal RNA
Rfam family: Bacterial large subunit ribosomal RNA
Source: RNAcentral